GAUGAACGCUGGCGGCGUGCCUAAUACAUGCAAGUCGAACGAAACUUCUUUAUCACCGAGUGCUUGCACUCACCGAUAAAGAGUUGAGUGGCGAACGGGUGAGUAACACGUGGGCAACCUGCCCAAAAGAGGGGGAUAACACUUGGAAACAGGUGCUAAUACCGCAUAACCAUAGUUACCGCAUGGUAACUAUGUAAAAGGUGGCUAUACUACCGCUUUUGGAUGGGCCCGCGGCGCAUUGGCUAGUUGGUAGGGUAAAGGCUUACCAAGGCAAUGAUGCGUAGCCGAAUUGAGAGGUUGAUCGGCCACAUUGGGACUGAGACACGGCCCAAACUCCUACGGGAGGCAGCAGUAGGGAAUCUUCCACAAUGGGCGAAAGCCUGAUGGAGCAACGCCGCGUGGGUGAAGAAGGUCUUCGGAUCGUAAAACCCUGUUGUUAGAGAAGAAAGUGCGUGAGAGUAACUGUUCACGUUUCGACGGUAUCUAACCAGAAAGCCACGGCUAACUACGUG
RNAcentral lists this ribosomal RNA (512 nucleotides) under uncultured bacterium. RNAcentral describes it as "partial 16S ribosomal RNA". It matches the Rfam family "Bacterial small subunit ribosomal RNA", at positions 28 to 507 of the family's 1533-position model. The record is from RNAcentral.